Molecule: ribosomal RNA, 407 nt
Filed under: uncultured bacterium
Lineage: Bacteria
Description: partial 16S ribosomal RNA
Rfam family: Bacterial small subunit ribosomal RNA
Source: RNAcentral
AUUGAACGCUGGCGGCAGGCCUAACACAUGCAAGUCGAGCGGAGCGGCGGAUGGGUGAGUAAUGCCUAGGAAUCUGCCUGGUAGUGGGGGAUAACGUCCGGAAACGGGCGCUAAUACCGCAUACUAUCAGAUGAGCCUGGGUCGGAUGAGCUAGUUGGUGGGGUAAAGGCCAUCCAAGGAGACGAUCCUUAACUGGUCUGAGAGUAUGAUCAGUCACACUGGAACUGAGACACGGUCCUGACUCCUCGGGGAGGAAGCAGUGGGGAAUAUUGGCCAAUGGGCGAAAGCCUGAUCCAGCCAUGCCGCGUGUGUGAAGAAGGUCUUCUGAUUGUUAAGCACUUUUAGCUGGGAGGCGUUACCAACAGAAUAAGCACCGGCUAACUCCGUGCCAGCAGCCGCGGUAAUUC